GACGAACGCUGUCGGCGUGCUUAACACAUGCAAGUCGAACGGAAAGGCCCUGCUUUUGUGGGGUGCUCGAGUGGCGAACGGGUGAGUAACACGUGAGUAACCUGCCCUUGACUUUGGGAUAACUUCAGGAAACUGGGGCUAAUACCGGAUAGGAGCUCCUGCUGCAUGGUGGGGGUUAGAAAGUUUCGGCGGUUGGGGAUGGACUCGCGGCUUAUCAGCUUGUUGGUGGGGUAGUGGCUUACCAAGGCUUUGACGGGUAGCCGGCCUGAGAGGGUGACCGGCCACAUUGGGACUGAGAUACGGCCCAGACUCCUACGGGAGGCAGCAGUGGGGAAUAUUGCACAAUGGGCGGAAGCCUGAUGCAGCAACGCCGCGUGCGGGAUGACGGCCUUCGGGUUGUAAACCGCUUUCGCCUGUGACGAAGCGUGAGUGACGGUAAUGGGUAAAGAAGCACCGGCUAACUACGUGCCAGCAGCCGCGGUGAUACGUAGGGUGCGAGCGUUGUCCGGAUUUAUUGGGCGUAAAGGGCUCGUAGGUGGUUGAUCGCGUCGGAAGUGUAAUCUUGGGGCUUAACCCUGAGCGUGCUUUCGAUACGGGUUGACUUGAGGAAGGUAGGGGAGAAUGGAAUUCCUGGUGGAGCGGUGGAAUGCGCAGAUAUCAGGAGGAACACCAGUGGCGAAGGCGGUUCUCUGGGCCUUUCCUGACGCUGAGGAGCGAAAGCGUGGGGAGCGAACAGGCUUAGAUACCCUGGUAGUCCACGCUGUAAACGGUGGGUACUAGGUGUGGGGUCCAUUCCACGGGUUCCGUGCCGUAGCUAACGCUUUAAGUACCCCGCCUGGGGAGUACGGCCGCAAGGCUAAAACUCAAAGGAAUUGACGGGGCCCCGCACAAGCGGCGGAGCAUGCGGAUUAAUUCGAUGCAACGCGUAGAACCUUACCUGGGUUUGACAUGGAUCGGGAGUGCUCAGAGAUGGGUGUGCCUCUUUUGGGGUCGGUUCACAGGUGGUGCAUGGCUGUCGUCAGCUCGUGUCGUGAGAUGUUGGGUUAAGUCCCGCAACGAGCGCAACCCUUGUUCACUGUUGCCAGCACGUUAUGGUGGGGACUCAGUGGAGACCGCCGGGGUCAACUCGGAGGAAGGUGGGGAUGACGUCAAGUCAUCAUGCCCCUUAUGUCCAGGGCUUCACGCAUGCUACAAUGGCUGGUACAGAGAGUGGCGAGCCUGUGAGGGUGAGCGAAUCUCGGAAAGCCGGUCUCAGUUCGGAUUGGGGUCUGCAACUCGACCUCAUGAAGUCGGAGUCGCUAGUAAUCGCAGAUCAGCAACGCUGCGGUGAAUACGUCCCCGGGGCU
This 1346-nucleotide ribosomal RNA is filed under the name uncultured bacterium. RNAcentral describes it as "partial 16S ribosomal RNA". It matches the Rfam family "Bacterial small subunit ribosomal RNA", at positions 28 to 1381 of the family's 1533-position model. The record is from RNAcentral.